This 262-nucleotide long non-coding RNA is filed under the name Nicotiana benthamiana. Its description in RNAcentral is "long non-coding RNA (NBEN_LNC030843)". Lineage: Eukaryota; Viridiplantae; Streptophyta; Magnoliopsida; Solanales; Solanaceae. The record is from RNAcentral.
CAAAACGUUCAUUUAUCAAAAGGUUUGCACAUGAUAUAAUCACAACACGUGCAAUUGUUUUUUGCACAACAUGAGGAGAUACAAUAGUGAAACAUUUAGGGAAAAAAUGGGGUGUCUUUGCACCAAUUUGGACACAAUAUCAGUUUUCCUAGAGAUAGGAGUUCGCACGAUUUCUACUAGACUUAUUAAAACUGAUGGGGAUACAUUUCUUUCAUCUCACUUCUCGCUUCCCACGUGGCCUCUUUGACUCGUUGACUUCGCC